This 1293-nucleotide long non-coding RNA is filed under the name Homo sapiens (human). RNAcentral describes it as "HSALNT0363664". The record is from RNAcentral. Lineage: Eukaryota; Metazoa; Chordata; Mammalia; Primates; Hominidae.
AGGGUUUGAGGCAGGCCCAGGAGCGAGUCCACGGUCUGCCGACUCGGGGCCAUGGUCGGGCCCCAGGAUCCGGAGCUUCGGGCGGGGCCGAGUCCGGGUUUGGGGCCCAGGAGGCGGGGCCGUUAGGGCUAGGGUCCCCGGGAUCGUCGGGUCAGGCCUUGGGCCAACGUAGGCACUCUCACAGUUCCUCCGCCUUCAGGAAGGUCUUUUUGGCAGGGGCCUUAUGGGUGCGCGCUUCGGUCCUGGAGGCCUUAUCCUAGCCUCCUCUCCAUCAGCGCCACCCGUCUGGGGCCCGAUAGGAGGGAGCUUUCCCUCUGUCCCCUAGCCUUUGGACUGUCACCAAACAAGCCAUUCGUUCACCAAAUACUUAUUAAGCGUCUACCAUGUGUCUGGCAAGGGAUAUGUAACAGUGAGAAAAACUAGGUGUGGUCCAGGCCCUCCAGGGGCUCAGGGGCUCGUGGAAGAAGUGGACAUUGAAGUACUUAUCACACAAAUGAGUAUAAAAGUACAAUAGUGAUAUCUGCCACGAAGGCGAGCAGACAGAGCUAGCGGGGCUUCCAGGAGGAGUUUUGAUCUUGCAGGGACAGGAAGGAGGAGUUAGCUCCUGGGGGGCGGGAUUGGGGGUGGUGGUGAUAUAGACGUGGGGUCAGAGUGGAAAACAACAAAAAUAUAAUUAUUUUAGUUCAAAGUUAUUGUGUCUUGAGUUGAAAGGCAGGGCAGUUAGCAACACAGUUCAGAUUUCAGUACUGCCCCUGAAAUCUGAACUGUGUUCAAAGUCUAAAACGUUUACCUUAGCAAAUCCCUCAUAAAACUCCAUUUGGAAGAGUCCCGAGAGCUAAUUUUUUAAGUAUACUUGCAGAAGGUAGAUGAGGAGACAGAUUAAAUCUUAUUACCUCUUUCAGAUGAGAGGCACUUGAGCCCUGCUCAGCUGUGAGAAUAAGAGAGGGGAAUUAAUUCUAAUUGAAUACACGUGUUCUCUCACAGCUGUUGUUCCCCACCAGAACCAAAUGAGCGCAAGAUCUGACAAAGAAAAAAAAAAGUCCCUGUAUCCUGAGAUGGAGUCACCUGAGAAUCCACAGCAAGUCCUAACCAGGGAUGGGUCUGGGUGGUUAAGGAAGGUUGGCUUCAGAACUGGGCCAGAGGCACUGCUUUGCUUUUGCUGUUUUGAUCAGCUCUCUGCCUGCAGGAGACAAGGAAAACCAACGGGAACAGGCCAGAGCGCAGUUGAUACAGGGCAGGGGAGCCCCCAAGCGGAGCAUAGUGUUUCUGGAACUGGUGGGUUCUUGGUCUCAC